UCCUGGAAAUCUCGGCCCAAAAAAGGACGUUUAGUAAUUCUAAAAGGGACUACAAGAUGAAAAACAAUAGUUUUGCCAGUUAAAGUUUGAGAUUCGAUGGUGCCGUAGAUCCGUUUGGUCAUCAGGUGUUACGAGCCACACCCAUGUCUAGCUAGAAUAGUGUGUCAGGCUCAGGCUAGAGAAGAAACAGGGUACAAACUGAUGAAAGAAUUAUCAUACCGAGGGAAUUCACUCAGAACUAACAAGAAUGAUAACGUGCUCCGACUGGAGCGGUUUAGGAACUGCUGGAAACCUCUAGGGGAAUAAAGAUGGAAUGACUUCUAAUUUUUAGGUCCGUAUGGUUUGAAAUACUUGCACACAAACCGCCCGAAAGCAUUCCUAGAAAUCUCGGCCCAAAAAAUGACGUUUAGUAAUUCUAAAUGGGAAUACAAGAUGAAAAACAAUAGUUUUGGCAGUUAAAGUUUGAGAUUCGAUGGUGUCGUAGAUCCAUUUGGUCAUCAGGUGUUACGAGCCACACCCAUGUCUAGCUAGAAUAGUGUGUCAGGCUCAGGCUAGAGAAGAAACGGGGAACAAACUGAUGAAAGAAUUAUCAUAACGAGGGAAUUCA
RNAcentral lists this long non-coding RNA (607 nucleotides) under Triticum aestivum (bread wheat). Its description in RNAcentral is "long non-coding RNA (TAES_LNC017171)". The record is from RNAcentral. Lineage: Eukaryota; Viridiplantae; Streptophyta; Magnoliopsida; Poales; Poaceae.